GUUAGAUCUGCUCCUCAGAGAUACUAGGGGAGCACUGGGAGGAGCUGCUGACGUGCAACACCCAAGGGGUGACAGCUGGCAGCAGAGGAGCAGAGCCUCACGCGGUAAACACGAAUCUACAGACCAUUAGGAUGAGACUUUCCAGUAAAGAUGGCAACGUGAAGCAGAAUCAUGGACCUUAUACUUUAUAAAAUGAACAAAAUACAGGUUCAACAAAAAUUCUAAAAAUUUUCUAGUAGCAACUGAGCAAGAAAUACGGUACAAUCUUAUGCCAAAACUGUGCAAUUGAGCUGUGCCUGCACCUAAUCCUACUGCAGAGACAGUACUGAAGACAGAAGGAAAAUCAAUAAUGCUGAGAAUUAUCCUAAUAUGCUGCAAUUAGGAGACAAGUCUCAGAAGACCCCGCAGGACACAUCUCCCAAGCACCAGGACCUUUGCCAGACUCCAGGAGAAAAUGGAUUUAUAGGAAACUUGCCUCAGGUGGAGAAACACCUUCUUCCCAGAGGAACAGGGGUCACAAAUACUCAGUCAGGUAAACAAAUGUCUGCACAUCUAUCUGUGAAAACCUGCCCACUCAACUGGAAAAAGAAAGGGGCAGGUGAAAAGUAUGAAGUGGAGAAAUACAUCUUGCUGAGUAUUAGGAGACAUGGGGACUGUCUGCGUUAGCGAGGGUGCUUAGGUGCAAGCAGUGGACCUGCUCAGCUUUACUUCACCAUGGAGUGGGUGCUGGGAGAUGCUUGGGUUGUGUAGCAUGUGCCAUUUGGAAAGACAUGACAUCUCUUCCAGGCAGUCAAGAGUCCUUUUUCCAGGGCACUGCCUCCGCUGCAGAGGCAGUCAUGGUUAUGGCUUCUGGGAUCAAGAGUCUGACUGGCUCACCCUGGGUGGCACACACUCGGGCUUCACGGUGGGCAGGCGGCUUCUCUUAUUCUUGACCAUUGUGGUGUCCCUUGAAAGAUCAUCAGAGCAUGACAAGGACUCUCUGACCCAUGUGACAGUCCUUGAACCACCGAUUAAUUUUCCUAUCGCACAUCCCUUAUUUUGAGCAAUGGACCACUGGCCCCACCCAUGGAGGGAUCUCACCAAGGAAUGAAAUGUAUUCAUGGCAUCUGGGGAUGUAGUAUUUAACUGAAAAUACAGAAAUAGAGCCAGACGUUGGUGGUGGGAGGGACUGAACAUAUAAAGAUGACAUUUUAAGUUAGUAGAAAAAUUGAUAAAUGGUUUUGGGAUGGCUGUGUACCACUGGGGAAAAAGCCUAAGAUUCCCACUUCAUACUAUGCUCCAAGAUAGAUUCCAGAGAGAAUGAGACAAAUGAUAAAACAUGAAACCAUAAAAACUUUAAAAGAAAAAAUGGGAGACUUUUGCAAUCUCAGAGAGCAAAGGCUUUUCUAAACAUGCCA
Molecule: non-coding RNA, 1397 nt
Organism: Manis javanica (Malayan pangolin)
Lineage: Eukaryota; Metazoa; Chordata; Mammalia; Pholidota; Manidae
Source: RefSeq, a predicted model, not a curated record